GAGGGUAUAGCUCAAAUGGUAGAGCACAUGCUUAGCAUGCAUGAGGUCUUGGGUUCAAUCCCCAGUUCCUCCU
Molecule: transfer RNA, 73 nt
Filed under: Camelus bactrianus (Bactrian camel)
Lineage: Eukaryota; Metazoa; Chordata; Mammalia; Artiodactyla; Camelidae
Also listed under: 2 other names
Rfam family: tRNA
About the family: Transfer RNA (tRNA) molecules are approximately 80 nucleotides in length. Their secondary structure includes four short double-helical elements and three loops (D, anti-codon, and T loops). Further hydrogen bonds mediate the characteristic L-shaped molecular structure. tRNAs have two regions of fundamental functional importance: the anti-codon, which is responsible for specific mRNA codon recognition, and the 3' end, to which the tRNAs corresponding amino acid is attached (by aminoacyl-tRNA synthetases). tRNAs cope with the degeneracy of the genetic code in two manners: having more than one tRNA (with a specific anti-codon) for a particular amino acid; and 'wobble' base-pairing, i.e. permitting non-standard base-pairing at the 3rd anti-codon position.
Source: Rfam by way of RNAcentral